RNAcentral lists this ribosomal RNA (732 nucleotides) under uncultured bacterium. RNAcentral's name for it is "bacterial SSU rRNA". It matches the Rfam family "Bacterial small subunit ribosomal RNA", at positions 28 to 776 of the family's 1533-position model. The record is from RNAcentral.
GAUGAACGCUGACAGAAUGCUUAACACAUGCAAGUCUACUUGAAGCUAACUUCGGUUAGUGGAGGGUGGCGGACGGGUGAGUAACGCGUAAAGAACUUGCCUCACAGAUUGGGACAACAUUUGGAAACGAAUGCUAAUACCGGAUAUUAUGAUACUUCCGCGUGGAAGAAUCAUGAAAGCUAUAUGCGCUGUGAGAGAGCUUUGCGUCCCAUUAGCUAGUUGGAGAGGUAACGGCUCACCAAGGCGAUGAUGGGUAGCCGGCCUGAGAGGGUGAACGGCCACAAGGGGACUGAGACACGGCCCUUACUCCUACGGGAGGCAGCAGUGGGGAAUAUUGGACAAUGGACCAAAAGUCUGAUCCAGCAAUUCUGUGUGCACGAUGAAGUUUUUCGGAAUGUAAAGUGCUUUCAGUUGGGAAGAAGCAAGUGACGGUACCAACAGAAGAAGCGACGGCUAAAUACGUGCCAGCAGCCGCGGUAAUACGUAUGUCGCAAGCGUUAUCCGGAUUUAUUGGGCGUAAAGCGCGUCUAGGUGGUUAUAUAAGUCUGAUGUGAAAAUGCGGGGCUCAACUCCGUAUUGCGUUGGAAACUGUAUGACUAGAGUACUGGAGAGGUAAGCGGAACUACAAGUGUAGAGGUGAAAUUCGUAGAUAUUUGUAGGAAUGCCGAUGGGGAAGCCAGCUUACUGGACAGAUACUGACGCUAAAGCGCGAAAGCGUGGGUAGCAAACAGG